CUAAAGUUCGAUUCAUAGCAGACUAUCUACUUGAAACAUUCUUUUAAGCUUUCCAUUGGUACUAUUAUUUCUAGGGUGUCGAAUUCAUAUCUUUUGAAGGAUGGGUUUUGUGCUUUUCCCUUUUUUGAAUUGUCCUUUCAUAUGUGACUGGGAGAUGACAUUUGGUUGAGUUGUUGUUCCUCUUCUCUGAGUUGGCUUUGUCUAGAAUUGGGUUUCUUUGGAACAGCUAAAUGUUGCUAAAUUUGCUGUCAGGUUAUGGAGAUACAGACUUUAGGGAAGCCAAUUGAUUUUUUUUGUUGGAGAAGGUCUUGUUUGUAAACAUCCUUCAUUUCUUCAGAUUAUUUUAAUGAGCUUUACAGAUUGAAAACUUAUUAUGAAGUUAUAGAUGAGAUAUAUAAUCAAGCUGAUCAUUUGGAGCCAUGGAUGAUUGGAAAUGGUAAGGGCCCUAUGACAGCAUUUUGUCUGUUGUACUAGUUUUUCACUAUGAAGCUCAUAGUCAAGCA
Telopea speciosissima is the source of this 503-nucleotide long non-coding RNA. RefSeq lists it as uncharacterized. NCBI's taxonomy places the organism in Eukaryota, Viridiplantae, Streptophyta, Magnoliopsida, Proteales, Proteaceae. The record is from RefSeq and is a predicted model, not a curated record. The transcript has 3 exons.